UGGGGAAUAUUGCGCAAUGGGCGAAAGCCUGACGCAGCGACGCCGCGUGGGUGAAGAAGGUCUUCGGACUGUAAAGCACUUUAAGUUGGGAGGAAGGGCAGUUACCUAAUACGUGAUUGUUUUGACGUUACCGACAGAAUAAGCACCGGCUAACUCUGUGCCAGCAGCCGCGGUAAUACAGAGGGUGCAAGCGUUAAUCGGAAUUACUGGGCGUAAAGCGCGCGUAGGUGGUUUGUUAAGUUGGAUGUGAAAGCCCCGGGCUCAACCUGGGAACUGCAUCCAAAACUGGCAAGCUAGAGUAUGGUAGAGGGUGGUGGAAUUUCCUGUGUAGCGGUGAAAUGCGUAGAUAUAGGAAGGAACACCAGUGGCGAAGGCGACCACCUGGACUGAUACUGACACUGAGGUGCGAAAGCGUGGGGAGCAAACA
Molecule: ribosomal RNA, 427 nt
Filed under: uncultured bacterium
Lineage: Bacteria
Description: bacterial SSU rRNA
Rfam family: Bacterial small subunit ribosomal RNA
Source: RNAcentral